Molecule: transfer RNA, 95 nt
Filed under: Streptomyces longispororuber
Lineage: Bacteria; Bacillati; Actinomycetota; Actinomycetes; Kitasatosporales; Streptomycetaceae
Description: tRNA-Pro
Source: RNAcentral
CCGCUGGUGGCUCGACCGCUCGGGGCCCCGGCCCCUGGAGGGGCGGCCGGUCGCACGCUGGCUGCGGGCGGCGCGGUUCGCCCUGCGCCGGCGCC